UACGUAGGGUGCAAGCGUUGUUCGGAAUUACUGGGCGUAAAGGGCGCGCAGGCGGCCCUUGAAGUCAGGCGUGAAAGCCCCGGGCUCAACCUGGGAGGUGCGCUUGAUACUCGAGGGCUUGAGUGCGGGAGAGGAGAGUGGAAUUUACGGUGUAGCGGUGAAAUGCGUAGAUAUCGUAAGGAAGACCAGUGGCGAAGGCGGGUCUCUGGACAGUUCCUGACGCUGAGGCACGAAGGCCAGGGGAGCAAACGGG
RNAcentral lists this ribosomal RNA (253 nucleotides) under uncultured bacterium. RNAcentral's name for it is "partial 16S ribosomal RNA". It matches the Rfam family "Bacterial small subunit ribosomal RNA", at positions 524 to 776 of the family's 1533-position model. The record is from RNAcentral.